This 415-nucleotide ribosomal RNA is filed under the name unidentified nematode Sourhope farm. RNAcentral describes it as "SSU rRNA". It matches the Rfam family "Eukaryotic small subunit ribosomal RNA", at positions 58 to 469 of the family's 1831-position model. Lineage: Eukaryota; Metazoa; Nematoda. The record is from RNAcentral.
UCUAAGCACAUGCCUUAAUACGGUGAAGCCGCGAAUAGCUCAUUACAACAGCCACCGUUUACUAGAAUAUAGUUAUCCUACUUGGAUAACUGUGGCAAUUCUAGAGCUUAUACAUGCAAAAAAGCUCCGCCCGCAAGGAACGAGCGCAUUUAUUAGAAUAAAAACCAAUCGGGUUUCGGCCCGUAAUUUGGUGAAUCUGAAUAACUUUGCCAAUCGCACAGUCCUAGUACUGGCGAUGUAUCUUUCAAGUGUCUGCCUUAUCAACUUUCGAUGGUAGGUUAUACGCCUACCAUGGUAGUAACGGGUAACGGAGAAUAAGGGUUCGACUCCGGAGAGGGAGCCUGAGAAACGGCUACCACAUCCAAGGAAGGCAGCAGGCGCGCAAAUUACCCACUUCCAGAACGGAGAGGUAGUG